CACUCAGUUGCUGGAUGAAGUGAGCUAUCACCAAAUACCAGUUGUGUUCUCUGAGGCAAAGGGAUCAUGUAUAUGGGAUCCUGAAGGCAAAUGGUAUCUAGACUUUCUCUCUGCUUAUUCUGCAGUUAAUCAGUGCUGCUGCCUCUUCAAUGUCUGCACUAAAGCAGCCAACCGUUCGAGUUCAAGCUAUCAUUGCUA
Molecule: long non-coding RNA, 198 nt
Organism: Humulus lupulus (European hop)
Lineage: Eukaryota; Viridiplantae; Streptophyta; Magnoliopsida; Rosales; Cannabaceae
Exons: 3
Source: RefSeq, a predicted model, not a curated record